This 253-nucleotide ribosomal RNA is filed under the name uncultured bacterium. RNAcentral describes it as "partial 16S ribosomal RNA". It matches the Rfam family "Bacterial small subunit ribosomal RNA", at positions 524 to 776 of the family's 1533-position model. The record is from RNAcentral.
UACGUAGGGUCCGAGCGUUGUCCGGAAUUACUGGGCGUAAAGCGCGCGCAGGCGGCCCGCGAGGUGUCACGUGAAAGCCCCGGGCUCAACCCGGGAGGGUCGUGGCAAACCGGCGGGCUUGAGGCCGGUAGAGGUGGGUGGAACUCCUGGUGGAGUGGUGAAAUUCGUAGAUAUUCGGAAGAACACCAGUGGCGAAGGCGACUUACUGGACACAUAUUGACGCUGAGGCACGAAAGCGUGGGGAUCAAACAGG